AUAUCUCUCUGUACGGGAAGGAUGAGAAGCUUCGACCAAGGUUCGAUUCGAGCGCAGCGAGAAAGCGUUGCCGCAGGCAACGACCCGAAGGGCGAAGCGCGCAGCGCUGAGUCAUCCUUCCCC
This 123-nucleotide small RNA is filed under the name Salmonella enterica. Its description in RNAcentral is "partial RtT sRNA". It matches the Rfam family "RtT RNA". Rfam says of the family: This family represents a bacterial cis-regulatory element known as RtT RNA. The exact function of RtT is unknown although it is thought that it may be involved in changing the cellular response in relation to amino acid starvation. The record is from RNAcentral. Lineage: Bacteria; Pseudomonadati; Pseudomonadota; Gammaproteobacteria; Enterobacterales; Enterobacteriaceae.